CAGAAGUUAGUUUAUGAAAAAAUGUGGGUUUUGGAAAUCCGGGAAAUUCUUUUGAGUACUUCUGA
Molecule: transfer RNA, 65 nt
Filed under: Ibla cumingi
Lineage: Eukaryota; Metazoa; Arthropoda; Thecostraca; Iblomorpha; Iblidae
Description: tRNA-Pro
Source: RNAcentral